AGAGUGAAGAUGAUCCUACUGGGACACCAGGCACCCCACUGAUGGCCUGGGUUGAUUUUACUGAUCGAAUCAGCUGAGUAGGUGUCUGCCUCCCUCCUCACCUUUCUACAUGUGUCCUUCUGGGGGCUGCAUGUCAAGUCAGAGAGAAGAAGAGUCUUCCCAGAUAGAACAUUGUUCUUUGACCAAAAGUGUGUGAUGACUUUGUCUGUUAUCUGGCAUUCUAAGAGAAUAUGGUGUUCUGG
Molecule: unclassified non-coding RNA, 242 nt
Organism: Rhinopithecus bieti (black snub-nosed monkey)
Lineage: Eukaryota; Metazoa; Chordata; Mammalia; Primates; Cercopithecidae
Gene: 7SK
Rfam family: 7SK RNA
About the family: 7SK was discovered as an abundant small nuclear RNA in the mid-70s but a possible function has only recently been suggested. Two independent studies have found that 7SK RNA binds the CDK9/cyclin T complex (known as elongation factor P-TEFb).
Source: Ensembl